RNAcentral lists this long non-coding RNA (743 nucleotides) under Homo sapiens (human). RNAcentral describes it as "HSALNT0044992". The record is from RNAcentral. Lineage: Eukaryota; Metazoa; Chordata; Mammalia; Primates; Hominidae.
GCGGGUGGCUGCCGUUUCACCUUAGAGGGAGGGAGGGAAACGUGUCCUGAUUUCUGCACCUAAGGUGCUGGAAACCUUACCCUUGCACUUCCACCGUUUCUUUCCUUGUCCUGAAAAGGUCUCUUUUACCCGCUUCACUUCGCUAUCUACACAGUUUGCACUUGCACUGACUCAGAUCUUGUCCUGUCUGGAGGCACGAGACUGAGUUUCUUUGGGCUCUGCUCGCCUACUCUUAAGGGGCUCUACCUUCUUAGGGUGAACUCGGCACCCACCUAGAACCUCCAGUGUGUGAAAGGGCCUACCUACCUCAUUGGGCCCCAACCUCCAGCCUCUUGUGAGAGUGACGACCAGCCCCAAAAUGGCUGCACACAAACAAGACCCUAAGGCAGUAUUUCAGCCCCUUUGAUUCACACACCACCUUUGCAUCGUUGGAAACACCUUUGACCAGCAAUGGAAAAUAAAGGGAACAUACUGCAGUUUCAAUUGUUGUGGGACUCAGGUUUUCUCUCAACACCGCAUACACACUUGGAGACAUGGGAAGAAGGUCUGAUGGAGAAUGUGGCUCUGUUGAAUCACUUCGGCUUAAAGAGAUAACAAGAGGGCAUGAAGUCAGGUGGCUGCAAGUCUGUGAGUGACAACUGUAGGAUAUUCUACAUGAUGGUGCCCAAAGAUUUAGUGCUAUAGAUGAAGAUUUUUAUGGAUUGUAUACACUUUCAUUAAAGAAACAGAAUGGUGAACGUACC